Molecule: long non-coding RNA, 1612 nt
Organism: Homo sapiens (human)
Lineage: Eukaryota; Metazoa; Chordata; Mammalia; Primates; Hominidae
Source: Ensembl
GGAGAUGGACAUGGACAGGGGCUGAAACUGCAGUACCAGCAGAUGGGGAGCUUAAGAAGGAAGCUAGUUCAUGGCACAGCACCCGUAAAGUCCCCAGAAUUGGAGGCACCAGAUUCUUCUGAAAGAAAAGGAGCAAUUCAGCACUUGUCAUGCAGAUAAGAGGUCAACACCCCAGGACGGAGUGAAAACCUAAGAUGGGACUGUCUAGUUGCAGGAAAACAAGUUCAGGGUUCCCACUGAUUCUACAUUAUGGGUCAUCAAGACAGGAGGAUAUGAGGCAGAAUCACCACACAAGCUAACCUGAUGUACAUAUGACAUUAAUCCAAUAGACUUAGGAAUAAGAUACAGGGGGUUUUCCUGAAUGAUUCGAGUAUAUCCCCAUUCAUAUUAAGAAAACAAAGUAUUGGCCAAGCGUGGUGGCUCACGCCUGUAAUCCCGGCACUUUGGAAGGCCGAGGCCAGUGGAUCACCUGAGAUGGACUCAACGACUCUCUUACCGUCCAGCUCUCAAGUCCCUUCUCUUGUGAAAAUGGAAAAGUUGAACUACAGUUGAGAUAUUAUUCCCAGGUGUUCUUUGGAACACAGGGGAUUUCUCCAAAAGGCACAGAACAAAUUGCCUCCAAACAGCCAAGAUUCCAGCAGAAGCUGGAGUAGCAGACUACUUGGAUCUUCAAAGUACCUGGCCCUGAGUCAGUUAAGGAAGAUCUUUUCUUCUCUUUUGUACAAUCCUAUGAUGAGAGCUGCAAAGUGAACUGACUAAGAGCUUCUGCCUUGAUCAUUGACCUCCCAAUCCUAAUAAUAUGUUCACUGGCCAAACUUCCUAAUCGAUUUGUCUUUUGGAUAUAACGUUCCUCCUACUGUUUGCCUGAUUGAGAAAUCUGCUACAGAACAUGACCGGUUAGCAUUCCCACCAACCCCAGUGCUACACUGACUGUCUUUCGAUGGACUUUGCUCCUUGCUGCCUCUCUGAGGUCCCAGACCUUCAGAGUGACCUUCACAGCUCUGCCUAACUUUCUGUCAUACUUCUAUCAAGAGAGACAGCUAAAUCAAUAUUUUUAAUGUGCUUUGCUGUCGGAAUUCGAUGAUCUGUCACAGUUCUUGCCCAAUACACCCCAUCAUUAUUGUUAAAAUGUUUUUAGCUUUGUUUGUAGAAUUGCUUUAACUGGUUUCAUCUCUGGGAGCUACACUUUGAAAUAUAACUUUAGCAACAUUUUACUAUACUUUUUCACAACCCAGAGCAGUACUAUUUUAUGCUUAGUGGUUAAACUAAUUCCAUAAAUCUUUUGCAACUAUCCUCUAUUCUUUUUCUUGUAAUUUUUACCUGGGAAGGUUUUUACUGAUAAUCAUCCUAUCCUGAGUCAUCCCACAAACCAAUCUGUCUCACUAAUCAUUGCUUCUAACCUACAGACUAAGCAUAACUUCUGCUAAAUGAUCUUUGAUAAGAUGCUAUGACUCUAUAAAGUCUUUGAUAUUCAUGUCUAAAUUUAAUCACUUGUAGAUUUUCAUAGAAUCAAUCUUUCACUUCUACAAUUGGGAGUAUUUAUAAGUUGUUUAUCUUAAACAGUUCCUCUAUCACGCUUUUCACGUUAAAUAAAGCAAUCCCUUCAAAUCAA